AAGUCGUAACAAGGUUUCCGUAGGUGAACCUGCGGAAGGAUCAUUAUCGUAUGGGGCUCUGCCCCUAAAGGAUGUAGGCCAGCCAGAUUGGAGCCCGUUUGGCCCCCAGACGUUUGCCUAACUAGGGUGUUUCUCUCACCAGACGUGGUGGUAGUCAACCCUAUGUUAGGCUGCUUUUUGGAGCAAACGAGGCUUCCUGAAUGACUGGUACACAGUUCACCCCUGUCUAUGAGUACUACUGUUUCCUCGGCAAGCCUGCUUGCCAAUGAGGACCCAUCAACCCUUUUUAUGUUAUUGUAACCGUAAUAAACAAAUAAUCAAAACUUUCAACAACGGAUCUCUUGGUUCUG
RNAcentral lists this unclassified non-coding RNA (350 nucleotides) under Murispora galii. Its description in RNAcentral is "partial internal transcribed spacer region". The stretch from base 1 to 46 matches the Rfam family "Eukaryotic small subunit ribosomal RNA", at positions 1786 to 1831 of the family's 1831-position model. Lineage: Eukaryota; Fungi; Ascomycota; Dothideomycetes; Pleosporales; Amniculicolaceae. The record is from RNAcentral.